RNAcentral lists this transfer RNA (77 nucleotides) under Rhodothermaceae bacterium. RNAcentral's name for it is "tRNA-Met". It matches the Rfam family "tRNA". From Rfam's summary of the family: Transfer RNA (tRNA) molecules are approximately 80 nucleotides in length. Their secondary structure includes four short double-helical elements and three loops (D, anti-codon, and T loops). Lineage: Bacteria; Pseudomonadati; Rhodothermota; Rhodothermia; Rhodothermales; Rhodothermaceae. The record is from RNAcentral.
CGCGCGGUGGAGCAGCGGUUAGCUCGUCGCCCUCAUCAGGCGAAGGUCGCAAGGUUCGAGUCCUGCCCGCGCAUCCA